AUACGUAGGGAGCGAGCGUUGUCCGGAAUUACUGGGUGUAAAGGGAGCGUAGGCGGGAGUGCAAGUCAGAUGUGAAAUACAUGGGCUCAACCCAUGGGCUGCAUUUGAAACUGCAUUUCUUGAGUGAAGUAGAGGUAAGCGGAAUUCCUGGUGUAGCGGUGAAAUGCGUAGAUAUCAGGAGGAACACCGGUGGCGAAGGCGGCUUACUGGGCUUUUACUGACGCUGAGGCUCGAAAGCGUGGGGAGCAAACAGGAUUAGAUACCCUGGUGGUCCACGCUGUAAACGAUGAUUACUAGGUGUGGGGGGACUGACCCCUUCCGUGCCGCAGUUAACACAAUAAGUAAUCCACCUGGGGAGUACGGCCGCAAGGUUGAAACUCAAAUGAAUUGGCGGGG
This 396-nucleotide ribosomal RNA is filed under the name uncultured bacterium. Its description in RNAcentral is "partial 16S ribosomal RNA". It matches the Rfam family "Bacterial small subunit ribosomal RNA", at positions 523 to 918 of the family's 1533-position model. The record is from RNAcentral.